This 190-nucleotide transfer-messenger RNA is filed under the name Ignavibacteriaceae bacterium. Its description in RNAcentral is "partial transfer-messenger RNA". It matches the Rfam family "transfer-messenger RNA", at positions 177 to 374 of the family's 374-position model. From Rfam's summary of the family: Bacterial tmRNA, also known as 10Sa RNA or SsrA, is named for its dual tRNA and mRNA-like properties. Its role is to liberate the mRNA from a stalled ribosome. The record is from RNAcentral. Lineage: Bacteria; Pseudomonadati; Ignavibacteriota; Ignavibacteria; Ignavibacteriales; Ignavibacteriaceae.
AAUUGAACGCCGUUUAAAUAGGAUAGCUUAGUUGAAUGUCUGAGGCAACGAAGCGAAAACAAAUCAGAUAUACUUUUCAAAAUCCUGUUUGCCGGAGAUUGAAAAGCGUACAAUAAAAGACAGACUAUGUGUGUAGACGUUCGUUGAAGCAUAGCUUCGGACGCGGGUUCGACUCCCGCCACCUCCACAA